AAAUAGGCCCAAUUGGCCAGGGUGUGCAAGGUCGCGGAAAUAAUCUGAUAGUCCCUUCUCCUUCGACAAUCCUCUUUGAAAUCCCAUUUCAGUAGCCCUAGACUCCGACGAUCCUACACCUUCAAAUUAAGUAGCAGAUUGCAUAUUCAUGUGGUGAUCACUCUUCACAAAAUCGUCAUUGUCGCUCCUCUGUUACCUUUAGGAGGAGUGGAAAGAGAGGCAUAAGGAAACUUCGGAAGAUAUAUCUUCAAAAUUCUUCAAUUCGCGAUUUGUCCCACUUGAGAUUGCAAAUUAUAUUUACAAAAUUUUGAUGCAAAAUAUUGUGGGAAUUUAGCACAGAACUGGGAGCUGAUCAAGAAUGGUGAUCUUGAUUAAUAAUGCAGGUCAAAAGAUUUUGAGGUUUUACAGGUUUUAAGGAAGAUAUCCAAAUUUAUUUCUGAUUUUCCUGUAGCAGCGUUUGAUCGUGUACCACUUUCAUAUUUAUCAGCUAAUUUCACUUUCAACACUGUUAACUACGGAGGAAAAAUCCGGGACUUGCUUUUCCAAAUACUUGAACAAGAAGAGGAUGUCAUGAUAAAACAAGGUGCACAAUCUAGAGAGAGUCGACUAAUGGCUUCUAGUGGUUUAAUGAUCACCUGGAUUUCAUCCAAAGAGCAUGUUUAAAUCUUUUUUGACUGAUUGUGAAGGAAUGGACAAUACCAAUCAGGAGAAGCAUUUAAUGCAUCAUCUUGCGACAGAUUUUAUAAUAGUAAAACCUUAUUUGGUAAGAUCAUUGGAUGGAAAUUUAUUGAUAGAGGGAUCCUUAUUCUUUUAAAAAAAAUUAUGAUAUAGGAAAGUGAUUGGAGCCAGGUAUUAUUUGAGUGGCUAUGAAGCUGAAGAAGAUCUGAUAACGUCUGUGUCAUUGAAAUCCCCUAGGGACAGUUCUGGUCAUGGCAGCCACACAGCCCCAACAGCAGCAGGCCGGUAUGUGACAAACAUGAAUUAUAAGGGCUUGGCAGCUGGAGGCGCUAGAGAAGGUGCUCCAAUGGCAAGGAUUGCAGUGUACAAGACUUGUUGGGACUCAGGGAGAUUAUUUUAAUGAUGCCAUCUCCUUGGGGUCAUUGCAUGCUGCUAGCCAUGGGGUAGUGGUAGUUGCUUCAGUUGGAAAUGAAGGAAAUUAAGGUUCAGCAACAAACCUUGCUCCAUGGAUGAUCACUGUUGCUGCUAGUUCAACAGAUAGGGAUUUUAUAUCUGAUAUCGUAUUAGGAGAUGGUGCUAAUUUCAAUGGUGAAAGUCUGAGUCUGUUUGAAAUGAAUGCCUCCACAAGCAUCAUCUCUGCUUCAGAAGCCUAUGCAGGAUACUUCACUCCCUAUCAAUCCAGCUACUGUUUGGAGAGUUCCUUGAAUAAUACUAAAGCCAGACGGAAGAUUUUGGUAUGCCAACAUGCUGAAAGUUCAACAGAUUCCAAGCUGGCAAAGAGUGCAGUAGUCAGAGAAGCUGGUGGAGUUGGAAGGAGCACGGGGGACAGGAUUCUAUCCUAUAUUAAUCAUACAAGGUUUUUUUCUACUCUUUGACGAUGAAGAUUCGGUGUGAGAUAAUUGAAUUACUUUGUGUUUCUCAUUUAAGGCUAUUCCAUUUACAUGAAUAGCAAACCGGUUUCUAGAAUUUUCCCUGCAAAAACUGUAUUGGGAUCUCAUCCUCCUGCUCCUCGAGUUGCAGCAUUUUCUUCAAAAGGUCUCAAUGCCUUAAUCCCAGAAAUUUGUAAGGUAUAUUCCUACUAAAGAUCAUCAAAUUUUAUGUGGGCUGCUCCUUUAAUUACUUGUUUUUAAUUUUA
RNA transcript from Vitis riparia (riverbank grape), 1813 nucleotides. It is a transcript of the gene named subtilisin-like protease SBT5.5, with no coding region annotated. Lineage: Eukaryota; Viridiplantae; Streptophyta; Magnoliopsida; Vitales; Vitaceae. The transcript has 10 exons. The record is from RefSeq and is a predicted model, not a curated record.